Long non-coding RNA from Beta vulgaris subsp. vulgaris (sugar beet), 4484 nucleotides. RefSeq lists it as uncharacterized. The transcript is spliced from 11 exons. The record is from RefSeq and is a predicted model, not a curated record. Lineage: Eukaryota; Viridiplantae; Streptophyta; Magnoliopsida; Caryophyllales; Amaranthaceae.
CCCUUUUGUAGGUUAAUGGCUAAAAAAAGAAAGCAAAGAAGCCAAUCGGAAGACAACUUAGCCUCUAAUCCAGAAGAUAAGGCCUCUGAUGCUGAAAAGAUUAGACGUGAAGAUGAGAGAGGUCGCACUGUACUUGCAAAGGUGGGAAAGGCGAUUCACAGUGGAACUAAAAUCCCGGUGGAAUGGCACCCGACACGUAAUGUACCAAGAGGGGAUCGCACUACUCUUUCCACUUACAUUGGUGUAGUUGUUCGGGAACGUGUAAGCAUAAAUUAUAAGAAAUGGAGUGAUGUUCCAAAAGAAUUGAAGAAUGAGGUGUGCGAGUUCAUCAUGAAAGGGUUUGAAGUGCCAGAGAAACGUAAAGCAUGGGUCUUAGGUAGAGCCUCCAAUCGGUGGAGGGCUUUCAAGACAAGAUUGAGAAAGGUGUGCUUGUACAGAUCAUCUGGAAAGAUAAGGCAAACAAAACCUUGGAAAUAUAAUUGGAUAACUCAAGCAGAUUGGGACAGUUUCACAAACUAGGAGCAAAGUAAAAAGAAUCGAGAAAGGUCAUUGAAAAAGAACACAAGCUAUCGAGGAGGCCGACGAGGAUACAUAUACUUUGGGGAAUAGAUUACAAAGGAACUUCAAAAGCAGUGGAUUCAUGUGACUCAGGUGCCUCGACAUUUAGUUUGGCUAAGAGCUCAUUCAACCGAAAAGGAAGGAGCGAUGAUGUUUGAGAAUCCCGCCGAUUUGGAAAUCGCAGAAGCAAUCAAAGUGUUGGAUGCUCAAUCCCAAAGAGGUGAAAUUGUAGCCAAUGGUCGGGAUGAUAUAUUGGCAAAAGUAAUAAACAAACCCGAGCAAGGUGGUCGUGUUCGGGGUGUUGGAUCGGGGGUUACUAACAAGGAGUACUUUGGGUUCAAUCAACCAACGCCUCCUAACCAAUUGCUUGCAGAAAUUGUUCGUAUGAAAUUAGAGAUGGAAAACAUGAGAAACAACCAAACUAUAAUGAUGUCUUUUAUCAUGUCAGGUGGUGGCCAGUUUAGUGGUCCUAUUAGUCAUCUCUCAGGUGGUCCCCAAUUGAGUGGUCCUAUUAAUCAAGGGUUUGGUGCUGGUGCCCAAUUGAGUGGUCCUAUUAGUCAAGGGUUAGGCGCUGGUGCCCAAUUUGGCGAUUUUAGUACACAACGUGGUGGGUUUGACAUACAAAUUGGUGGUCAAGGGAUAGGAAAUGGCCCAUUUAAUAGUUUCACUCAGCUUCUUUGUGGUAAUGGUGUCGAAGGUUCUGUUGGUGCCCAGUUGAGUGCAUUUGAUGAAGAGCUUGGUGGUUCCCGUGGCAAAUUUAAGUCGAAGUAGUGGCAAAAAUGGUGCAUCUGGUGGCCAUGAGUUUGGUGGUAGUAACUUUCCUACUUCCACUGGCCUUAGGAAGGGAGGUGUUUGUUUGAAUGUUGAUUCUGAGCCAUCUCAUGAGGUGAUAAAACCAUACCAUGUUCCUUGGCCUCAGCAAUCCCAUCCUAACCAUGUUCAAAUCCCCGAGAUAAAUUGUGAUCAUUUGCCUAACACAGAGCUUGAGCCUAACAAUCAUGAUUAUACUUUUCCCAAGGGUUGGAGUGAAUGUUCUUUGGCAAUUGAAAAUAACAAAGGAGUCGAAAUUGUUGCAAUUGGAGAGGUUGAGGUAGCAGAUGCAUCAGAAGUGAUACGCGUGCAUAAUGUUCGUUUGACGAAUGAUCUUCGUCGAGUUAAGGUUCUUCAAGAUUUAGUUCCCUCUGCACCCUUGCCAUGUCCUACGGAUGAAUUCACUUACGUUUGUCAGGCUAAGCAUAGUUUUGCUACAUGGCCAGUUCACUUGAUUUUUCCAAAAACAAAGGUAACGUAAAUAAUUUCUUCUCCAUUUCAAUAUUUUAAUAAUUGCUUCAAUGUCUGGGGGUCAAGCAAUUAGAUCAUGUAUACCGUCAUUUUGGAGCCUCACACACCAAAUAAUCGAAUACUGCUUGUAAAAUAGAGGCAACUUAGCUCUGAGUACAAUAAUUGUAUAUAUGAGUAUGACUGAGCUUAGUUAGUGUAUGUUAAUUUUUUCUUUCUACAUUCAGUAAAUUAUAUAUAAACGUUGUUCUCACGAAACAAUUUGGCAAGUUAAUUGUUCACACUAGAAGUAUGUAACAAGUAGUUUAUCAAUUCUACAGUGAACUGUAUGAAUUAUGCAAUCUUUGGGGGUUAAUAUGUUCAUCAGAAUUAUGCUUUUAGUUACAAGUGAUUGCGCUUGUUUCGGCUUUUCAGGUGUGAACAAUAAGAACUCUUAAGUUAGACGAAAAUUUGCUAUUGCCUAGGUGAACUGCAGCUCACCAGUAAGAUGAUUAAACUUGGCUUUGGGAGUUGUGUCCGAGAAAGGAACCUGUGAGGCUGUAAUGGUUAAGCACUAUGUUUGAAAGUAGGUAACUGGUGUAGCAAUUACUGAGUCGAGGUGUUUUUUCUUAUAUAUAUGUACUCUGUACAAAAUGGCACCUAAGAGGGGAAGUCGAGAGGUGUUUCAAUCGUCUUUUACAUCUUCCUCCUGAAGAACAAACUGAUUUCACAGGACAAUUUUCCUUGUUUAUCACUGAGCUUGCUUUGUUGUUCACUAAAGUCAACCGACUUCUGCAAUUUUGAUUGCCUCUUGGUUCGUUAUUAAGAGAAAUCCAGCUAGAAUCAUUUCCAGAAGCCGUAGAUUUAUUUUCUCUCAUGUCUUCACCAGUUUCAGUGAAUCCUAAAGAGUCUACACUGCCCUUUUGCUGCUCCACUUUCACUAUUGACAUAAGAUCUUCGGCUCUAAUGCUUGGACAUACACCAGAUUUAUCUAGGAUGGUACUGGAGAUAUAUGGUUCUGCUCUGACAGUCCUCUGAUAUGAGAUUCUUUCAGGACACAAAUUGUUCUUAGAAGAUAAUAAGUUGCUUGUUUCUGUACCAUCCUCCUGCACAUUUUAUAAAUCAGAAAGAGUGGGAUUGGCUGAAAUGCUUAAUAGAGAUAUCUUAACUACGGUAAUUUUCAAUCCAAGGAAGGAUCAUUCCUCUCUCCAAGAUAAAUUGACACGAGUCCUUGAGAUUGUCCCUGUGCAUUAGAGUACUUCAUCUUUGACUUUCUUCACAGGCAACUCCUUCAAAUGAUCUUCUCUUCCUUUGUCAACCUCUUCCUUAUUACCAAAAUUAUAGUCACUUGAAAGUGGAAUAUCAAAAUCAGCACUAUCUAUAUCUGGAGAAUUGUAUACAUAACUGGAGAAUUAGACGUAAUUUUGUGAUUUAUUAUUUGUUCAUGUAUAUUUCUUUUGUAUUUUAUUACUUGGGCCCUUUUUUCCGACAUAAAACAACUAAAUUGAAUUAAUUGCUUGAUACUUUUUUUGUUUGUUUGAAUGUUGAUUUUGAGCCAUCUCAUUAUAAAUGUCGAUGCACAAGCAACAAAAUCAUUUGCUGCUCCAUCCCCACAAAUGCCAUCAUCACAAGCAUCAAACAAUCGAAAAUAUGUGAUCACUGAUAAGGAUCUUGCCAAGUUGACAACUACUUCAUUGCGAACUUUCAAGAAUCAAGCCAUGAGAAUGAAAUCAAGUGGUGCAUGCAUAUCAAUUAGAAUACCGGCAACUGUGUAUGGUCAUGAGGAGACACUUACCCUUGAUUAUGAAGCGAUGCUUGAUUGGUGCUUCCAAAGAGAGAUCGGAGUGACUCACUUGUCCAUUUUCAUGAAUGCAAGAUACUUGAGCGAAAAGUGUCAACAAGGUGGUGUAUGUGGGAUGUAUGGAUUCUGUGACUCAAAUUAUUUAUCUCCUAUGACACAAACCAAUAAAGAAGAGCAAGUCGACUAUCUAGCUCGUAUCUUUGGCCAAAAUGAAGGGAAUAAUGUCAAUCAACUAUUCUUUGCACCUUAUCAUGAGAAUCGACAUUGGAUGCUAGCGGUCAUUAGUCUGUGGAACGGAGUGGUGUUUUGGCUUGAUCCUGCUGGAGUGAAAAAUGAUAUUCCUGAAUUUGCUCAAAGGACCAUAAAUGAGGGAAUCAUAAAAUUUAGUCUCGUAUAUCGAAAGGACAUUAAGAAAAUGAAAAGAAUCCGACAAUUAAGUGGAAAAAACCUGAGUGUCCUCGUCAAUCCCAAGAAUCUCUGGACUGUGGAUAUUAUAUAGUCGAUAUAUGCUCGAGACUAUAGAGAAAAGGGACAAGUGAUUCCUGAUAAGUACUUUGGCGGAGUUACAACUGAAUUUCCUCAAAAUAAGCUUGACGAGUUGAGAGACUUAUGGAUCAAAUACGGGAGGAAUAUAAACAAGCGGAAGAAGAGGAAUCUGAAGAAAGUGUCGAUUUUGAUUAGGUGUUAAGCGGGAUUAGAUAGGUAAUUAGUUAGAACAAUGAGUUGAUUAAUUUACUCUGCAUAUGAGUUGAAAGAAAUAAUGGCUGCUUUAGGUAUCUUUUGAUAAGUUGAUUUUUUGAAUCUUCAUAUAUCGAUAUUAUUUUGUAAUGAAUUAUGGUAUUGCAUUAAUGAAAUUUUUGUCAAGUUA